CUGCCUAUAUAAAGCGCAGCACCCCACGGUGCACGGGGGCUUUUUUUCAGACUUCAGAGACGGAGGAAACGCCUGGCGAGACGAACAGAUCAAGCACCGGCGCUCGGUCGGACGAAGCGAUCACACGUGCGGAGGCGUACAGGUUCAUCAAACUCCAUCAACAUCAAUUUCAUGGCUUCAGGUAACGACUACGGUGACCAUGAUGGCCAUCGCGCGCCGCCGUCGAUGCAGGUACAAGAGGAUCGUCGUGUUAGGACACCCGCCCGACGCGGAGCGCCGUUCUCAUCGACAACUCGCCGACGUCCGUCCGAGAGCCACCAUGCGCGAUGGUGCGGACGUGGGCGACGUCGCAGAGCACUACCUUCAGACCGACGAGGCUCGGCGACAAGGUGGGCGUGGCCACGGCUAAGGCCACGCUCAACGGCGCGUGUACUGUCUUGUACACGGGUUCUGCCGGCACCCACACCAUCACCCCACCCAUACAUGCAUAGGUGACGUGAAGCGAAGACAUGAAGACGGCCACAACAGCUUAAUCGGAGGUUUCUCGCGGGUCUAGCCCUGCGGGAGUAAUUAAGCAGGAGCCUUUCGAGGCCCCGUGAACCAGGAGAUGACCACAAUCGCCUUGUCAAUCAAGCCGUGCAAGCAGGCCACGGAGCGUACGAGGAAUUGUAUUUUGUAAUCUCAAACAGAUUAAUAAAAUAUACGAUUCCUCCCAUUU
Brachypodium distachyon (stiff brome) is the source of this 718-nucleotide long non-coding RNA. RefSeq lists it as uncharacterized. The record is from RefSeq and is a predicted model, not a curated record. The transcript has 2 exons. Lineage: Eukaryota; Viridiplantae; Streptophyta; Magnoliopsida; Poales; Poaceae.